UGCUGGAGGUAUCAGAAGUGCGAAUGCUGACAUAAGUAACGAUAAAGCGGGUGAAAAGCCCGCUCGCCGGAAGACCAAGGGUUCCUGUCCAACGUUAAUCGGGGCAGGGUGAGUCGACCCCUAAGGCGAGGCCGAAAGGCGUAGUCGAUGGGAAACAGGUUAAUAUUCCUGUACUUGGUGUUACUGCGAAGGGGGGACGGAGAAGGCUAUGUUAGCCGGGCGACGGUUGUCCCGGUUUAAGCAUGUAGGCUGAUUGUCCAGGCAAAUCCGGAUAAUCAAGGCUGAGGUGUGAUGACGAGGCACUACGGUGCUGAAGUAACAAAUGCCCUGCUUCCAGGAAAAGCCUCUAAGCAUCAGGUAACAUCAAAUCGUACCCCAAACCGACACAGGUGGUCAGGUAGAGAAUACCAAGGCGCUUGAGAGAACUCGGGUGAAGGAACUAGGCAAAAUGGUGCCGUAACUUCGGGAGAAGGCACGCUGGUGUGUAGGUGAAGUCCCUGCGGAUGGAGCUGAGACCAGUCGAAGAUACCAGCUGGCUGCAACUGUUUAUUAAAAACACAGCACUGUGCAAACACGAAAGUGGACGUAUACGGUGUGACGCCUGCCCGGUGCCGGAAGGUUAAUUGAUGGGGUUAUCCGUAAGGAGAAGCUCUUGAUCGAAGCCCCGGUAAACGGCGGCCGUAACUAUAACGGUCCUAAGGUAGCGAAAUUCCUUGUCGGGUAAGUUCCGACCUGCACGAAUGGCGUAAUGAUGGCCAGGCUGUCUCCACCCGAGACUCAGUGAAAUUGAACUCGCUGUGAAGAUGCAGUGUACCCGCGGCAAGACGGAAAGACCCCGUGAACCUUUACUAUAGCUUGACACUGAACAUUGAGCCUUGAUGUGUAGGAUAGGUGGGAGGCUUUGAAGCGUGGACGCCAGUCUGCGUGGAGCCAACCUUGAAAUACCACCCUUUAAUGUUUGAUGUUCUAACGUUGGCCCCUGACCGGGGUUGCGGACAGUGUCUGGUGGGUAGUUUGACUGGGGCGGUCUCCUCCCAAAGCGUAACGGAGGAGCACGAAGGUUAGCUAAUCCUGGUCGGACAUCAGGAGGUUAGUGCAAUGGCAUAAGCUAGCUUGACUGCGAGCGUGACGGCGCGAGCAGGUGCGAAAGCAGGUCAUAGUGAUCCGGUGGUUCUGAAUGGAAGGGCCAUCGCUCAACGGAUAAAAGGUACUCCGGGGAUAACAGGCUGAUACCGCCCAAGAGUUCAUAUCGACGGCGGUGUUUGGCACCUCGAUGUCGGCUCAUCACAUCCUGGGGCUGAAGUAGGUCCCAAGGGUAUGGCUGUUCGCCAUUUAAAGUGGUACGCGAGCUGGGUUUAGAACGUCGUGAGACAGUUCGGUCCCUAUCUGCCGUGGGCGCUGGAGAAUUGAGGGGGG
This 1416-nucleotide ribosomal RNA is filed under the name Klebsiella pneumoniae. RNAcentral's name for it is "bacterial LSU rRNA". It matches the Rfam family "Bacterial large subunit ribosomal RNA", at positions 1271 to 2671 of the family's 2925-position model. Lineage: Bacteria; Pseudomonadati; Pseudomonadota; Gammaproteobacteria; Enterobacterales; Enterobacteriaceae. The record is from RNAcentral.